Molecule: long non-coding RNA, 1524 nt
Organism: Papaver somniferum (opium poppy)
Lineage: Eukaryota; Viridiplantae; Streptophyta; Magnoliopsida; Ranunculales; Papaveraceae
Exons: 3
Source: RefSeq, a predicted model, not a curated record
UAACCCGAAUCCUGUAUCCAGAAUCUCUACCGGACCAUCAUAACGUAACAGUAGAACCGUAACACCCGCCUUUACGGGAGAACUUGAAUCGAUUAUGCUUGAUUCACAGCUCAGAAGAACAAAUUUUUUAAUAACCAAAAAUUCAUCCUGAUUCUCCUCAUUUUUAGAUGGUACAAAGAAAAUUCGACGAUGAACACGACGGAGCUUUAUUUCCCACUGGAAAAAGACUAAAUCCAACACAACUCUUCUUGAGGUAAACGACCAACACAAAACAACCAACAGACCCAGAGAACAUAUCCAACGAAAGGAUUACAAGAUUAAAGCUAACAAGGACUACAUAGGGAAAGAAAAAAUUAGCCUAAUCCUUGAACUAACUGCCGAAAAAGUAAGAAAUCUACCUGUGACUAAAAACCGAUCAACACCAUCACUAAUUAAAAAUUCCAAACCGAAAAGUUUAGGUAUAGAUGAUGCCGAAGAUAAAAUAGAUGUUGCUUCCUUUUGCUCGAAAAUUGAUGCUGAAAUUGGUGAUGUGCAGAUAUUACUUUGGAUCCAAAACCCAAAACUCCUCACGCCACGGAGAUAAUAAUCACCCAAAACAAAACAUCCUUCUUUCCAAGUUGAUAGAAACAGGUCUCGGGAAUCUUCAAAAUAAAAUACCUACCGGAAAAACUCGCUGUAACGGGAGGGAACGCUGCAAAUCUUAGAACUUUCAACCAUUAUUAAGCAACAAACUGAUGGACAUGAACUAGAGAACCCCCCCCCCCACCCCACCCCAAAAAAAAAAGUUCAAAAGAACCAUUCAUCAAAGGAAAAACUAGAACUGGAUCUAAACUAAUGAAAAAGAAAACUAAAAAACCACAAAACAGAAUAAAAAUUACAUCAUGAAAUAAGAUACAACCUAAGAAAGCGAUAAAGCAAAGAAGCCUAUCCAUAUCUGCUCCAUAUGAAUCCGAUCUGGGCAGAAGAAGGGGCGUCGGUGAGGAAGUUUUCGUUUAGGUCAUGAGAUGAUGGAUAUGCAGACAUACAUACUCAGAGACAUCAUCAUGAGAUUUGAUUAUUCAACUAAGACAUGGAUGAAAUUUGGGUUAUCUCUCAUAUGGGAAGAUUGAAGUUUUCCCGAGCUGAUUUUGUAUUAGUUCCAGAUGUAGUGUAAGAUGAAGCUACUGCUCUGAUUUUAGAUAUCUCCUGGGCUCAGGAGUUGAACUUAUCAAAAGUUCUCUUUGUAAGUGACCGCCUCCAAGUGGUAGAUUUUGUUAAUGGAGUUAGUUGCUCGGUCGGAUGGAGAUGUAGAGAUCUUUUAGUAGAUUGUCGAAGUCGUCUUUCAAGUAGUAAUGGAUGUAAUCUUGUAUAUAUUAGGCGUGAUAAGAAUAAACUUGCGGACCGGCUUGCACACCGUGCUAGGAAACUAUGGUUUAAAACUGUUUGGGUUUCUUCUCCUCCUUUUUUGAACUCUCCUGCGAGGAAGGAACCUAUUAUGAAAGUUUGUAAGUCUCUUCUUAGUUAAUUGAAAUGGUUGUUUCUCAG